RNAcentral lists this ribosomal RNA (274 nucleotides) under uncultured bacterium. RNAcentral's name for it is "partial 16S ribosomal RNA". It matches the Rfam family "Archaeal small subunit ribosomal RNA", at positions 473 to 747 of the family's 1478-position model. The record is from RNAcentral.
AAACCAGCACCUCAAGUGGUCAGGAGGAUUAUUGGGCCUAAAGCAUCCGUAGCCUGCUGCAUAAGUUUUCGGUUAAAUCCAUACGCCCAACGUAUGGGCUGCCGGGAAUACUGUGCAGCUAGGGAGUGGGAGAGGUAGACGGUACUCGGUAGGAAGGGGUAAAAUCCUUUGAUCUAUCGAUGACCACCUGUGGCGAAGGCGGUCUACCAGAACACGUUCGACGGUGAGGGAUGAAAGCUGGGGGAGCAAACCGGAUUAGAUACCCGAGUAGUCC